This 254-nucleotide ribosomal RNA is filed under the name uncultured prokaryote. RNAcentral's name for it is "partial 16S ribosomal RNA". It matches the Rfam family "Bacterial small subunit ribosomal RNA", at positions 524 to 777 of the family's 1533-position model. The record is from RNAcentral.
UACGGAGGAUGCGAGCGUUAUCCGGAUUUAUUGGGUUUAAAGGGUGCGUAGGCGGACUAUUAAGUCAGUGGUGAAAGCCUGCAGCUUAACUGCAGAACUGCCAUUGAUACUGAUAGUCUUGAGUUUGGUUAAGGUAGGCGGAAUGUGUAAUGUAGCGGUGAAAUGCUUAGAUAUUACACAGAACACCAAUUGCGUAGGCAGCUUACUGAGCCGACACUGACGCUGAGGCACGAAAGCGUGGGGAUCGAACAGGA